This 73-nucleotide transfer RNA is filed under the name bacterium. Its description in RNAcentral is "tRNA-Arg". It matches the Rfam family "tRNA". From Rfam's summary of the family: Transfer RNA (tRNA) molecules are approximately 80 nucleotides in length. Their secondary structure includes four short double-helical elements and three loops (D, anti-codon, and T loops). Further hydrogen bonds mediate the characteristic L-shaped molecular structure. tRNAs have two regions of fundamental functional importance: the anti-codon, which is responsible for specific mRNA codon recognition, and the 3' end, to which the tRNAs corresponding amino acid is attached (by aminoacyl-tRNA synthetases). tRNAs cope with the degeneracy of the genetic code in two manners: having more than one tRNA (with a specific anti-codon) for a particular amino acid; and 'wobble' base-pairing, i.e. permitting non-standard base-pairing at the 3rd anti-codon position. The record is from RNAcentral.
GGGGAUGUAGCUUAGUGGAUAAAGCAACAGACUUCGAAUCUGUUUAUUGUGGGUUCGAAUCCCAUCAUCCCCA